RNAcentral lists this ribosomal RNA (255 nucleotides) under Duganella margarita. Its description in RNAcentral is "partial 16S ribosomal RNA". It matches the Rfam family "Bacterial small subunit ribosomal RNA", at positions 52 to 311 of the family's 1533-position model. The record is from RNAcentral. Lineage: Bacteria; Pseudomonadati; Pseudomonadota; Betaproteobacteria; Burkholderiales; Oxalobacteraceae.
CACAUGCAAGUCGAACGGCAGCGCGGGGCAACCUGGCGGCGAGUGGCGAACGGGUGAGUAAUAUAUCGGAACGUACCCUGGAGUGGGGGAUAACGUAGCGAAAGUUACGCUAAUACCGCAUACGAUCCAAGGAUGAAAGCAGGGGACCGCAAGGCCUUGUGCUCCUGGAGCGGCCGAUAUCUGAUUAGCUAGUUGGUAGGGUAAAAGCCUACCAAGGCAUCGAUCAGUAGCUGGUCUGAGAGGACGACCAGCCAC